RNAcentral lists this ribosomal RNA (800 nucleotides) under uncultured bacterium. Its description in RNAcentral is "bacterial SSU rRNA". It matches the Rfam family "Archaeal small subunit ribosomal RNA", at positions 76 to 879 of the family's 1478-position model. The record is from RNAcentral.
AUUGCCCUUACGGCUCAGUAACACGUAGUCAACAUGCCCAAAGGACGUGGAUAACCUCGGGAAACUGAGGAUAAACCGCGAUAGGCCAAGGUUUCUGGAAUGAGCCAUGGCCGAAAUCUACAUGGCCUUUGGAUUGGACUGCGGCCGAUCAGGCUGUUGGUGAGGUAAUGGCCCACCAAACCUGUAACCGGUACGGGCUUUGAGAGAAGGAGCCCGGAGAUGGGCACUGAGACAAGGGCCCAGGCCCUAUGGGGCGCAGCAGGCGCGAAACCUCUGCAAUAGGCGAAAGCCUGACAGGGUUACUCUGAGUGAUGCCCGCUAAGGGUAUCUUUUGGCACCUCUAAAAAUGGUGCAGAAUAAGGGGUGGGCAAGUCUGGUGUCAGCCGCCGCGGUAAUACCAGCACCCCGAGUAGUCGGGACGAUUAUUGGGCCUAAAGCAUCCGUAGCCUGUUCUGCAAGUCCUCCGUUAAAUCCACCCGCUUAACGGAUGGGCUGCGGGGGAUACUGCAGAGCUAGGAGGCGGGAGAGGCAAACGGUACUCAGUGGGUAGGGGUAAAAUCCAUUGAUCUACUGAAGACCACCAGUGGCGAAGGCGGUUUGCCAGAACGCGCUCGACGGUGAGGGAUGAAAGCUGGGGGAGCAAACCGGAUUAGAUACCCGGGUAGUCCCAGCUGUAAACGAUGCAGACUCGGUGAUGGGUUGGCCUCGAGCCAACCCAGUGCCGCAGGGAAGCCGUUAAGUCUGCCGCCUGGGGAGUACGGUCGCAAGACUGAAACUUAAAGGAAUUGGCGGGGGAGCAC